CGUACGCUUCUUUUUCCACCGGAGCUUGCUCCACCGGAAAAAGAAGAGUGGCGAACGGGUGAGUAACACGUGGGUAACCUGCCCAUCAGAAGGGGAUAACACUUGGAAACAGGUGCUAAUACCGUAUAACAAUCGAAACCGCAUGGUUUUGAUUUGAAAGGCGCUUUCGGGUGUCGCUGAUGGAUGGACCCGCGGUGCAUUAGCUAGUUGGUGAGGUAACGGCUCACCAAGGCCACGAUGCAUAGCCGACCUGAGAGGGUGAUCGGCCACAUUGGGACUGAGACACGGCCCAAACUCCUACGGGAGGCAGCAGUAGGGAAUCUUCGGCAAUGGACGAAAGUCUGACCGAGCAACGCCGCGUGAGUGAAGAAGGUUUUCGGAUCGUAAAACUCUGUUGUUAGAGAAGAACAAGGAUGAGAGUAACUGUUCAUCCCUUGACGGUAUCUAACCAGAAAGCCACGGCUAACUACGUGCCAGCAGCCGCGGUAAUACGUAGGUGGCAAGCGUUGUCCGGAUUUAUUGGGCGUAAAGCGAGCGCAGGCGGUUUCUUAAGUCUGAUGUGAAAGCCCCCGGCUCAACCGGGGAGGGUCAUUGGAAACUGGGAGACUUGAGUGCAGAAGAGGAGAGUGGAAUUCCAUGUGUAGCGGUGAAAUGCGUAGAUAUAUGGAGGAACACCAG
This 678-nucleotide ribosomal RNA is filed under the name Enterococcus faecium. Its description in RNAcentral is "bacterial SSU rRNA". It matches the Rfam family "Bacterial small subunit ribosomal RNA", at positions 63 to 712 of the family's 1533-position model. The record is from RNAcentral. Lineage: Bacteria; Bacillati; Bacillota; Bacilli; Lactobacillales; Enterococcaceae.